AUUGAACGCUGGCGGCAGGCCUAACACAUGCAAGUCGAGCGAGCGGCGGACGGGCGAGCAAUGUAUGGGGACUGCCCGACAGAGGGGGAUAACUACUGGAAACGGUGGCUAAUACCGCAUACUAUCGGAUAACCCAUAUGGGAUUAGCUAGGAGGUGGGGUAAAGGCUCACCAAGGCGACGAUCUCUAGCUGGUCUGAGAGGAUGAUCAGCCACACUGGGACUGAGACACGGCCCAGACUCCUACGGAGGCAGCAGUGGGGAAUAUUGGACAAUGGGCGCAAGCCUGAUGCAGCCAUGCCGCGUGAAUGAAGAAGGCCUUAGGAUUGUAAAGUACUUUCGGCGGGGAGGCGGUACCCGAAGAGAAAGCACCGGCUAACUACGUGCCAGCAGCCGCGGUAAUAC
This 403-nucleotide ribosomal RNA is filed under the name uncultured bacterium. RNAcentral describes it as "partial 16S ribosomal RNA". It matches the Rfam family "Bacterial small subunit ribosomal RNA", at positions 29 to 526 of the family's 1533-position model. The record is from RNAcentral.